CACAGAGGUGUUUCCAGAGGGAUGGAUUCAGUCACAGAGGUGUUUCCAGAGGGAUGGAUUCAGUCACAGAGGUGUUUCCAGAGGGAUGGAUUCAGUCACAGAGGUGUUUCCAGAGGGAUGGAUUCAGUCACAGAGGUGUUUCCAGAGGGAUGGAUUCAGUCACAGAGGUGUUUCCAGAGGAUGGAUUCAGUCACACGGAGGUUUCCAGAGGGAUGGAUUCAGUCACACAGAGGUUUCCAGAGGGAUGGAUUCAGUCACACAGAGGUUUCCAGAGGGAUGGAUUCAGUCACAGAGGUGUUUCCAGAGGGAUGGAUUCAGUCACAGAGGUGUUUCCAGAGGAUGGAUUCAGUCACACGGAGGUUUCCAGAGGGAUGGAUUCAGUCACACAGAGGUUUCCAGAGGAUGGAUUUAUUCCUGCACACAGAGGUGUUUCCAGCCUGGCAGAGCUGUCAGGGCCCUGUGGUUUCUGCAGCCUGGGGAGCAGCCAGGAGGCAGCUCAGCCUCUGCUCCAUUCAUGCCUUCCCUGAAUCACAUUCCUGUGCCCUUAGUCACCCUUUGGUUGGCUCAGCUACAAACAGGCUGCAGUUUGUUCCCUUUCCUGCCUCCCCAGCCCUGCCUUUGCUGGGAGUCCCAGCUCUGCAGCUCCAGGCACGGGCUCUGCCUGCCUGGGCAGGGAAAUGCCCUCAGGAGGGGCUUCCAAGCCCUCGGCAGGGUGGGCUCCAUUUCCAGCAGGUGCCCGUCAGGGGCUCCUGGGAAUGGUUCCAUUCCCCCUCUGCAGGUUUCUGGUUUGUAUUUCUUGUUUCGAGGCGUUGUUUGUGCAGCGGGGAUGGGAAGUGGGGAGGUGUGAGAGCAUUCCCACCAGGAUGUGCAGCUCCUGGGGGUUUGUUGGGGCUGCCUCUAAGGUUUGGUGAUGGGCCACGGGCUCAGAGGCUGCAGGAGCCCCGAGGGCUCGGCUGGGGACAGGGAUGGAGGGACAGGACACAGGGAUGGAGGGACAGGACACGGGGAUGGAGGGACAGGACGGGGGGGGGGGGGGGGGGGGGGGGGGGGGGGGGGGGGGGGGGGGGGGGGGGGGGGGGGGGGGGGGGGGG
Molecule: long non-coding RNA, 1091 nt
Filed under: Ficedula albicollis (Collared flycatcher)
Lineage: Eukaryota; Metazoa; Chordata; Aves; Passeriformes; Muscicapidae
Description: lncRNA (ENSFALG00000025117.1)
Source: RNAcentral